This is a long non-coding RNA of Mesocricetus auratus (golden hamster), 2098 nucleotides long. RefSeq lists it as uncharacterized. Lineage: Eukaryota; Metazoa; Chordata; Mammalia; Rodentia; Cricetidae. The record is from RefSeq and is a predicted model, not a curated record. The transcript is spliced from 3 exons.
CCUGAGUGCUGGGACUAAAAGGGUGUGACACCACCACCUGGCUUAAAAUAUAUAAUUUUUAACUUAAAGAAAAGAUAAUUGUUUUAGUCAGGUUUGCAUUACUGCAACGAGAUAUCCCAGGAUAUUAUUAAUUUAUGAGGGAAAAUGUUUAAAGUUUUUGUGGAAGAUCUGGGGGCUCUGUUGUUGGAGUCCCUAGUGGGCAUACCAGAUAGCAAAAUAAGAUCCUAUGUACACAUCACAACUUAGAAACACAUUAGGAUUCUACAACUCCAUCCAUGGUACAUUCCCAGUGGCCUAAAGAUCUCCUAGAAGUCAUCACCUUUUAAAGAUUCGGGUUUUUUUCUUUUUCAUUCUUGUUCUUUUGGUUAUCUGAGAUAGGGUUUUUUUGUGUAACUUACUCUGUAGACCAGGCUGACCUCCUACUCAGAGAUCCCCCUGCCUCUGCCUCCCAAGUCCUGGGAUUAAGUGUGAGCCACCACUGCCUGGCUACAACUGGGAAUUUUAAAAGUCUUCUUUUCAUCUCAUUUCGAAGCCAUUUAAUCUAAAAUUGUCUGUACAUAACAGAGUCAUCCUUUGUUAUGAUGUGGGGAUUCAACUUGAACUCAUUAUUGGUACCUUGGUUAUAACUGUCUUGUAGGCUAUUCUGUUACAUACCCCCAGCACUUAGGAGGAACAGAGACAGUCAGCUAAGCAAUUUGUGCCCACCUCUGCUGUUCAGAUUGGUUUUUUAACUGACAGUAAUAAAUCAGAGGGGACUAGCUACAUCAGUUCUCAUAGCCCAAUUCUGCCAAAUGUAGGGCAAAAAUGCUUUAUCUUAUGACAGGAUGCAAAAAUUUCCCUGUCACAUUUCCGUCUGUAAGUCUCCAGUAAACUUUAUCCUGUUUAACUCUGGAGCUGUCUGUUUCUUUUGCUGGUCUCCUGGUGUCUAUGACUUUAGGCUUCAGUUCUGGUUGGCGCAUCAGGACCAAGUCUGUCGAAGCACAGUCCACAUGCCUCCUGAGCACAAAUGGCUUAGAAACUUUGGCGAACCAUUCCCUUUUUAUUGUUUCCAUUCUUCCUAAAUUCUUAAAUGAAAUGAACCUUAUGGUGUCUCAGAGUUUGUCUACCUGCAGCUACCAGAAUUUAUAAGUGGAACAGGGUGUGCUUUGUAAUUGACCACAUUUUGAAUUUUUUUAAAAGAUAUUUUCUUUAGAAAAAAGUCUACGAUUAUCUUAUUUCUUCUAAACUGGUAUACAGUGUUCUCAGAUAUCAAGUGUGAGCAUUGUCUGUUAAGUUUGUGGCUCUGUUUGCUCACUGUGCUUUUUCAGAUUCCCGUGUUGGUUUUCCUAAUAGUCUUUUAUACCUAUAAACAAAGACUAAAUUUCUAGUUGUUGACUUGCAUGGGAUUUUACUAGACACCUCAUAUUCUCUGUUUCAGGAGACAUUUGCACUUCAUUCUGUGGGGAGGAUCUGCCCACCCACAGUACACAUAUACACUGUUGGUGGCUUGUUGCCUCUGAGUCAACAUUAAAUCUAACCAUCCACACAUUGGCUUGGGAACUCAGUGACUGGUGCAUGCAAACCCUCCCUUGCUACACAGAGCAAGGGGAAUGAAGGGAAAGGACGACCUGAGAGAUGAGGCAGUCAACUGGAAAGAGGCCAGACUGAAUCUUUGUGAUCGACUGCCUUUGGUUCCCCAUCCCGAAAGAAUCUGAUGGCUUCCACUGACCGGAAUGACUACGGUCAAGGACACCGAUGACAGCUUAUUCUGGAGAGGAUGUGGAGAAAGGGGAACAUUUCUCUGUUGCUGGUGGGAGUGCAAACCUGUACAGCCUAUGUGGAAAUCAGUAUGGCGAUUUCUCAGAAAAUUAGGGAUCAGGCUACCUCAAGACCCUGAAAUACCACUUGGAGGAAGUGAUUUUACGUAUCCGUAAGCGCUGACAACUCCCAUGUGGAUGUGUUCACAGACUCUUGCAGCGGUUACUUGGAAAAAUACUGAGGUUUCACGGAGGAGCUGUUUGGUGGCACACCUAUGUCACCCGCUGGCCAAGCAUAGUCAUUGCAGGAAACAAUCAGAAAUAGAACUCAUCCUAUAUAUAUAGCACAUAUCAGAUCCCAU